UCCUAAAAUGUUUGUGGCGUUGUCGCUGAC
Molecule: small RNA, 30 nt
Filed under: Bombyx mori (domestic silkworm)
Lineage: Eukaryota; Metazoa; Arthropoda; Insecta; Lepidoptera; Bombycidae
Description: ovarian small RNA-27664
Source: RNAcentral